AACCUGGUUGAUCCUGCCAGUAGUCAUAUGCUUGUCUCAAAGAUUAAGCCAUGCAUGUGUAAGCACACACUGUUUAAAAGUGAAGCCGCGAGUGGCUCAUUACAACAGCCACAGUUUAUUAGAACUUACAAUCAUGGAUAACUGUGGUAAUUCUAGAGCUAAUACACGCACAAAAACUUCAACUGAAUUGGUUGAAGUGCUUUUAUUAGAACAAAAACCGAACGGCGUUUGACGAAUGUUGAACGUCGAAACUGUUUGGUGAAUCUGAAUAACUAUUUCUGAUCGCAUGGUCUAGCACCGGCGACAUCACUUUCAAGUGUCUGCCUUAUCAACCUUCGAUGGUAGUCUAUGCGACUACCAUGGUGAUAACGGGUAACGGAGAAUCAGGGUUCGACUCCGGAGAGGGAGCCUGAGAAACGGCUACCACAUCCAAGGAAGGCAGCAGGCGCGCAAAUUACCCACUCCCAGCUUGGGGAGGUAGUGACGAAAAAUAACGAGACGAUUCUCGUUUGAGAAACGUUAUCGAAAUGAGUACGCUUUACACACGCUAACGAGUAGCAAUUGGAGGGCAAGUCUGGUGCCAGCAGCCGCGGUAAUUCCAGCUCCAAUAGCGUAUAUUAAAGUUGCUGCGGUUAAAACGCUCGUAGUUGAAUUGUGGUCUUAGACAACAGUCCCCCUACAUAGGUGUGGCACGGUUGCUCGAGAUCUUCAUUCGUGGUUGCUGUUGUUGCUCUUCAUUGAGUGUCAAUGGUGCCUCGAGAUUUUACUUUGAAAAAAUUAGAGUGCUCAAAGCAGGUUGUGAUGCCUGAAUAAUGGUGCAUGGAAUAAUAGAAUACGAUCUCGGUUCUAUUUUGUUGGUUUUCGAACCGGAGAUAACGAUUGAAAGGAACAGACGGGGGCAUUCGUAUUGCUGCGUUAGAGGUGAAAUUCUUGGAUCGCAGCAAGAUGAACAAUUGCGAAAGCAUUUGCCAAGAAUGUUUUCAUUAAUCAAGAACGAAAGUUAGAGGUUCGAAGGCGAUCAGAUACCGCCCUAGUUCUAACGGUAAACUAUGCCAACCAGCGAUUUGCCGAAGUUCAUUUAAGACUCGGCGAGCAGCUUCCGGGAAACCAAAGUGUUUCGGUUCCGGGGGAAGUAUGGUUGCAAAGCUGAAACUUAAAGGAAUUGACGGAAGGGCACCACCAGGAGUGGAGCCUGCGGCUUAAUUUGACUCAACACGGGAAAACUCACCCGGCCCGGACACUGGAAGGAUUGACAGAUUGACAGCUCUUUCUUGAUUCAGUGGGUAGUGGUGCAUGGCCGUUCUUAGUUGGUGGAGCGAUUUGUCUGGUUAAUUCCGAUAACGAACGAGACUCUACCCUAUUAAAUAGUGACAGUAUUGUAUUUUUUGUGCUGAUCACUUCUUAGAGGGACUGGCAAAUUGAAAGCUGCACGAAAAAGAGCAAUAACAGGUCUGUGAUGCCCUUCGAUGUCCGGGGCUGCACGCGCGCUACAAUGAAAGCGUCAACGUGAGUUACGUCCUUACCUGAAAAGGUUUGGCAAUCGAAUGAAACGUUUUCUUGAAUGGAAUAGGGAAUUGCAAUUGUUUCCCUUGAACGAGGAAUUCCCAGUAAGCGUGAGUCAUUAGCUCGCGUUGAUUACGUCCCUGCCCUUUGUACACACCGCCCGACGCUACUACCGAUUGGAUGAUUUAGUGAGGUGUUUUGACUGGCGCCAGUAGUCGGAUGUAUUCGGCUUCGCGCCGGGAAAUUUCCCAAACCAAAUCAUCUAGAGGAAGUAAAAGUCGUAACAAGGUUUCCGUAGGUGAACCUGCGGAAGGAUCAUUAUC
This 1826-nucleotide ribosomal RNA is filed under the name Trichinella sp. T6. RNAcentral describes it as "SSU rRNA". It matches the Rfam family "Eukaryotic small subunit ribosomal RNA". The record is from RNAcentral. Lineage: Eukaryota; Metazoa; Nematoda; Enoplea; Trichinellida; Trichinellidae.